Molecule: long non-coding RNA, 3267 nt
Filed under: Capra hircus (goat)
Lineage: Eukaryota; Metazoa; Chordata; Mammalia; Artiodactyla; Bovidae
Description: lncRNA (ENSCHIG00010022200.1)
Source: RNAcentral
AUGAAUGUCCAAAAGGAAGAGCAUUUAUUUAAUCCACCCACAUGCUUCCUCUGUCUUGGGUGGUUUGAAUGUGACACCCAGACGCACACGGGUGCAGGGAGGACACAUUUGCAGGGAACAGAGAGCAAGACAGCAGCAGAAAGUCAGCAGGAGAGGCAGGGACUGGGAUUCCAGAGAAAGGGGCUGAAGUCGAGGGGACAGGACGACAGGACUGCUAGAGGCUGUGCUGUAUGGCGAGGACUUUUCAUUCUCCCAGGAGCCUGGCCACAGGUGUGUGGUAUUCUGGAGUUUCCCAAAGCUUUGAUUAAAGCCCAUGAAUGCACAUGCCUUGAAUAUUUCUCUGUACCUUGUGACCCUAGAAGUGAUCCUGCCCUUUGAAUCAAUCCUUUAUUUCAUCUAGGUCGUUACCGGAGUAAACGGCCCAGAGGCAUUUUAGUUAGCAUCACCUAAGCCCAUGUUUCUCACACAAACAGAAAGGUCCACUUCAGAUCUUCUCACGGGAGCCAGAUGACCACUUCUACCAAAAAGCCACAGCAGGGGCUUCCCUGGCGGUCUAGUGGUUAAGCAUAUGAUUGUGGUGUGGGGGAACAUCCUGGUAAGAUCUGGUAAGAUUUUACAUGCCACAGGGCAACCAAGCCUGCGAGCCACAACAACUGACUCCAUACACCCUAGAACCCAUGCUCGACACCAAGAGAAGCCAUUGCAAUUAGAUGCCUGCACAUCGAAACUAGACAGUAACUUCCACUUGCUGCAACUGGAGAAAGCCUGUACAGCAAUGAGGACCUAGCGCAUCCAAAAAAAUAAAAAUAAAGAAAAUAGACUGAUGCUUGAGGGUGGCAACAAGUUUCAUGGUCUCAAAGCCAGCCCCAUCUUGUUCGACACACUUCUGGGCAGAUAGAGUGAACACAGAAGGCACGCUGAUGCAACAUGUAGGUGACACAAGGCUGAACAGGAUAAUGGGUCGCACAGUGGAUUGAGUCACUUGAACUCAAAUGUCCUCACUGAGUGACAAUCAAAUGUAAAUGAUCAGGACCUGCUAGAACAGGCCAAAACUAACAACACAAGGCAAGCAGCGUGUAGUAAGGCUCUUCUUAGGUUGAUAGAAGCAACUGACAGCCAAGUGCUUCUCCAACUGCAGUGAGGACGGGACACACCUGGGGUUCUCUCUAAAAGGCAGGUUCUGACUCAGCAGGUUUGCAGUGCGGGCUUGAAAGCCUGCUUUUUUGACGAGUUGCUGGGUGAAGAGGGUGCUGCUGGAGCACUGGCUACUCUCUGAGUGCUAAGUCAGUCGUGUCCGACUCUUUGUGACCCCAUGGACUGUAGCCCACCAGGNNNNNNNNNNNNNNNNNNNNNNNNNNNNNNNNNNNNNNNNNNNNNNNNNNNNNNNNNNNNNNNNNNNNNNNNNNNNNNNNNNNNNNNNNNNNNNNNNNNACCAGGCUCCUCUGUCCAUGGGAUUCUCCAGGUAAGAAUACUGGAGAGGGGAUGCCCUUCUUUCCGACCUGGGGAUGAAUAGCAAGGCUGAGAAAGCCCUGAGCAGUUUGUCAACCAUAUGCUCGCAUGACCACCAUUAGAUUUCACACGAAUGAAUGGCCCUACUAUCCUCUGAUGCCCCAGCCCCUUCUGCUGUAUUGCAUUUAGGACAGAAAACCAUGUUUUAAUGUGGCCUUUAGGGGAGUAGAAUGUGACCAAGAGAACAAAUAAAAUUCUGAGACAUCUAGAAUCUACGUGGUGAGAAUGGGAAGAACUGGGACGCUUCAGCCGACAGAAGGGAACACCAUGUGCAGGAUAUGAUAUAGUCGCUAUCGCUAGAUAUUUAAAAUGCUGUGAAGAGCUCCAGAGCAUUAGAAAAACAGACUGAAACGUGACACAACAACCAGGCUCCUCCGUCCAUGGGAUUCUCCAGGCAAGAAUACUGGAGUGNNNNNNNNNNNNNNNNNNNNNNGGAUCUUCCCCACCCAGGGGCUGAAUCUGUGUCUCUUUAGUCUCCUGCCUUGACAGGCUGGCUCUUUACUACUAGCUCCACCUGGGAAAGCCCAUAUUGCAUAUAUAGUUAUUAGCAAUCAACUGCUAUGAUAGUUACAUCAUGUUAGUGAUUUACACAUUAUAUGUUUAUUUCUCAGUUACGAAUAGUCUAAAAUGGAUGUUCUUGGGACUUCUUGGUGGUCCAGUGGUUAAGACUCUGAGCUUCCAAUACAGGGGGCAGGGGGGUUCAAUCCCUGGUCAGGGAACUAAGAUCCAACAUUCCACAUGGUGCGGCCAAGUAAAUAAAUAAAUAAAAUAGGUAUCUUUGAUUAGCAGUUAGCUUUGCUCCAAUUGGCCACAAUUCAGUGACCACUGCUCCUUCCAUGUGGAGGCUCUGCCAACGGCAUGAACCUUGCAGGGUCUUGAUAGAAAGGAAAAGAGCAAGCAGUUCACACACAGCAGGUUGUCAGGAGCCAGCUCUUACAGGUGACAUAUUGCUUCUGCCUGCACGUGACUGGCCAGACCUCAGAAACAAGGUCACAUUCAGUGACAGGGAGACUCAGAAAUGUGGUUAAGCCCAGGAAGAAACGGACGUGGUGAACAGCCAGCUACUCCCAGCUGCUUUCUCUCCUAAGGCUGCUCUGAGGGUGAUGCUUUAGACAGUGCAGAGAGAAUGCUGAGUUUGGCUUAGUCCCUGUUACAGUCGUCGCUCAACAAAUUGCUGUUAUCAUUUAACUUUAGAGAACAAAUGUAGUUCCCAGAUAUUAAAUUACAGGGAGACAGAUUUCAGAUCGAACCAAGACAAAACAAAGAAAUAAUAGUUCAAUUAUGGAUUCUGUGAUGACAGUAAGGUUCCCAUCACUGGCGCUAUUCAAGUAGAGGACCUUGGCUUCAGGGAGGCCAAAUGGAGUUUCUUUAUUCAUUGAAUAUUGGACCAGCUAACCUUUGAAUAGCCUCAGAAAUAUCAAGAACCUUGGGCUGCAAAUAAGUGUUUUGAUUCUAAGCAGAUUUGCACACAAAUGUGGUAGAUGGGACCACAUCAACAUCCUUGUUUUAUGGACUCUCAUCUUUGGAACCUAGCCUGCACCUCAGCAAUGGAUGUCAGUCAGUAGCCUUGAAACAAAUGAAACCAGAUAAGAGGAUGCAACACCCUACCUGCUGGGGUCCAGCCCCGGUGGUUCCAGGGAAUUUGAAGGGGAGACGAUGUGGCGAGGAAAAACUUAUUUAUUUAGAAAUAUAAAAGAAAUUAGGAAAGAAUAGUAUAGUAGGAAAAUUUAGUGAAGAAAAGAGGCUGAAUAACUUGGU